GGUAGAGCACUGUUUCGGCUAGGGGGUCAUCCCGACUUACCAACCCGAGGCAAACUCCGAAUACCGGUGAGUGCCAGCGUGGGAGACACACGGCGGGUGCUAACGUCCGUCGUGAAAAGGGAAACAACCCAGACCGUCAGCUAAGGUCCCAAAGUUAUGGUUAAGUGGGAAACGAUGUGGGAAGGCUUAGACAGCUAGGA
RNAcentral lists this ribosomal RNA (200 nucleotides) under Ditylum brightwellii. RNAcentral's name for it is "partial Bacterial large subunit ribosomal RNA". It matches the Rfam family "Bacterial large subunit ribosomal RNA", at positions 901 to 1098 of the family's 2925-position model. The record is from RNAcentral. Lineage: Eukaryota; Bacillariophyta; Thalassiosirophyceae; Lithodesmiales; Lithodesmiaceae.